CAAUAGCGUAUAUUAAAGUUGUUGCAGUUAAAAAGCUCGUAGUUGGAUUUGUGGCGUACGGUGUGUUCCGGGCACUUGUUGUCUGAGUAACCUGCUGUUGCCAUCCUUGGGUGGAACCUGGGUGGCAUUAGGUUGUCGUGCAGGGGAUGCCCAUCAUUUACUGUGAAAAAAUUAGAGUGUUCAAAGCAGGCUUAUGCCGUUGAAUAUAUUAGCAUGGAAUAAUGAGAUAGGACUUUUUUGCUAUUUUGUUGGUUUGCGCAAAGAGGUAAUGAUUAAUAGGGACAGUUGGGGGUAUUCGUAUUCCAUAGUCAGAGGUGAAAUUCUUGGAUUUUUGGAAGACGAACUACUGCGAAAGCAUUUACCAAGGAUGUUUUCAUUAA
RNAcentral lists this ribosomal RNA (380 nucleotides) under uncultured eukaryote. Its description in RNAcentral is "partial 18S ribosomal RNA". It matches the Rfam family "Eukaryotic small subunit ribosomal RNA", at positions 592 to 976 of the family's 1831-position model. The record is from RNAcentral.